Molecule: ribosomal RNA, 285 nt
Filed under: Chloroflexota bacterium
Lineage: Bacteria; Bacillati; Chloroflexota
Description: Chloroflexi bacterium (cold seep metagenome) partial 16S ribosomal RNA
Rfam family: Bacterial small subunit ribosomal RNA
Source: RNAcentral
GAGGUGGAGCUAAUCUCUAAAACCGUUCUCAGUUCGGAUCGCAGGCUGCAAUUCGCCUGCGUGAAGCUGGAAUCGCUAGUAAUCGCGGAUCAGCAACGCCGCGGUGAAUACGUUCUCGGGCCUUGUACACACCGCCCGUCACGUCAUGGGAGCUGGCAACACUUGAAGUCGAUGGGCUAACUUGCUAUUUUUAGUAGGAGGCAAUCGCCGAGGGUGGGGUUGGUGACUGGGACGAAGUCGUAACAAGGUAGCCGUACGGGAACGUGCGGCUGAAUCACCUCCUUU